ACGGAAGGCAGCAGUGGGGAAUAUUGCACAAUGGGCGGAAGCCUGAACCAGCCAUGCCGCGUGAAGGAAUAAGGUCCUAUGGAUCGUAAACUUCUUUUGAGUGGGAGCAAUAAGGUCUACGAGUAGAUCGAUGAGAGUACCAUUCGAAUAAGCAUCGGCUAACUCCGUGCCAGCAGCCGCGGUAAUACGGAGGAUGCAAGCGUUAUCCGGAUUUAUUGGGUUUAAAGGGUGCGUAGGCUGUUGAUCAAGUCAGAGGUGAAAUGCCGCAGCUCAACUGUGGAAUUGCCUUUGAUACUGGUUGGCUUGAAUACUGUUGCCGUGGGAGGAAUGAGUAGUGUAGCGGUGAAAUGCAUAGAUAUUACUCAGAACACCGAUUGCGAAGGCAUCUCACGAAGCAGUCAUUGACGCUGAGGCACGAAAGCGUGGGGAUCAAACAGGAUUAGAUACCCUGGUA
This 454-nucleotide ribosomal RNA is filed under the name uncultured bacterium. RNAcentral describes it as "partial 16S ribosomal RNA". It matches the Rfam family "Bacterial small subunit ribosomal RNA", at positions 341 to 792 of the family's 1533-position model. The record is from RNAcentral.